UAAAGAAGGAAAAAGGCAGCAAAUGCAGGCUUUUAAACUAAAAGCUGGCUUUAUUCUCCUCCACCCAGGCUCUGCUACCUCUCUGCCUGCUGCAGCUGGCUGGCACCUCUGAGGAAGCUGCCACGUCACACCUCGCUGGAGUCGGGGAGAGCGUGGUGAGCCUUCCUCGGUAGUGAACAAGAUGAAGGGGCAACAUGGCCAUGAAGACUAGAGACCAAGCAGAACGGAAGUCUCAGACAACCUGCAAAAGUUUACAAAUCUUUUCCUGUGUUGUCCUUUUCACUAAAUAAGUCCCACUGGAGUUGUCUGAACAAGCCACAUGAGGCAGGCCCA
Molecule: long non-coding RNA, 333 nt
Filed under: Anser brachyrhynchus (Pink-footed goose)
Lineage: Eukaryota; Metazoa; Chordata; Aves; Anseriformes; Anatidae
Description: lncRNA (ENSABRG00000009657.1)
Source: RNAcentral